RNAcentral lists this unclassified non-coding RNA (248 nucleotides) under Hevea brasiliensis (rubber tree). Lineage: Eukaryota; Viridiplantae; Streptophyta; Magnoliopsida; Malpighiales; Euphorbiaceae. The record is from RNAcentral.
CGUCAAAUUUCAAUAAUAUGCAAUUUUACUUUGUUUCCUUUCCAAAAUUUGCUUUCGUAUCUAAUAAACUAGGAGUGUAUUUAGCUUGGAAAGAAAAUAUAUCCUCAACGUUAUUCAGUCUCUCUCCUUUAUUUUGCCCACGUGGAUCGUUAGAUGCCAAUAUAUCUGAGAUUGCCGUGUUUGUUGAGAUGGUCUGGUAGUAGAUGCUGACUGCUACAGAGUGAAAAACAGGAGAAGGACUAUCCUGA